Molecule: microRNA precursor, 75 nt
Filed under: Adineta vaga
Lineage: Eukaryota; Metazoa; Rotifera; Eurotatoria; Adinetida; Adinetidae
Description: mir-2 microRNA precursor
Source: RNAcentral
UUAUUCCUCAAAAAUGAUUGUGUUUAUGUUGAAUUAUUGAAAAUAUCAUAUCACGGUCAGCUUUGAUGGAAUAAA